UACGUAGGGUGCAAGCGUUGUCCGGAAUUAUUGGGCGUAAAGAGCUCGUAGGCGGUUUGUCACGUCGGAUGUGAAACCCUGAGGCUCAACCUCAGGCCUGCAUUCGAUACGGGCAGACUAGAAUUCGGCAGGGGAGACUGGAAUUCCUGGUGUAGCGGUGAAAUGCGCAGAUAUCAGGAGGAACACCGGUGGCGAAGGCGGGUCUCUGGGCCGAUAUUGACGCUGAGGAGCGAAAGCGUGGGGAGCAAACAGG
RNAcentral lists this ribosomal RNA (253 nucleotides) under uncultured bacterium. RNAcentral's name for it is "partial 16S ribosomal RNA". It matches the Rfam family "Bacterial small subunit ribosomal RNA", at positions 524 to 776 of the family's 1533-position model. The record is from RNAcentral.